This 553-nucleotide ribosomal RNA is filed under the name Phoma sp. Its description in RNAcentral is "eukaryotic LSU rRNA". The stretch from base 186 to 339 matches the Rfam family "5.8S ribosomal RNA". Lineage: Eukaryota; Fungi; Ascomycota; Dothideomycetes; Pleosporales; Didymellaceae. The record is from RNAcentral.
AAGUCGUAACAAGGUUUCCGUAGGUGAACCUGCGGAAGGAUCAUUACCUAGAGUUGUAGGCUUUGCCUGCUAUCUCUUACCCAUGUCUUUUAAGUACCUUCGUUUCCUCGGCGGGUUCGCCCGCCGAUUGGACAAUUUAAACCAUUUGCAGUUGCAAUCAGCGUCUGAAAAAACUUAAUAGUUACAACUUUCAACAACGGAUCUCUUGGUUCUGGCAUCGAUGAAGAACGCAGCGAAAUGCGAUAAGUAGUGUGAAUUGCAGAAUUCAGUGAAUCAUCGAAUCUUUGAACGCACAUUGCGCCCCUUGGUAUUCCAUGGGGCAUGCCUGUUCGAGCGUCAUUUGUACCUUCAAGCUCUGCUUGGUGUUGGGUGUUUGUCUCGCCUCUGCGUGUAGACUCGCCUCAAAACAAUUGGCAGCCGGCGUAUUGAUUUCGGAGCGCAGUACAUCUCGCGCUUUGCACUCAUAACGACGACGUCCAAAAGUACAUUUUUACACUCUUGACCUCGGAUCAGGUAGGGAUACCCGCUGAACUUAAGCAUAUCAAUAAGGGAA